UAGGGAAUCUUCCGCAAUGGGCGAAAGCCUGACGGAGCGACGCCGCGUGAGCGAAGAAGGCCUUCGGGUCGUAAAGCUCUGUUGUGAGGGACGAAGGAGCGCCGUUCGAAGAGGGCGGCGCGGUGACGGUACCUCACGAGGAAGCCCCGGCUAACUACGUGCCAGCAGCCGCGGUAAUACGUAGGGGGCGAGCGUUGUCCGGAAUUAUUGGGCGUAAAGCGCGCGCAGGCGGUUCCUUAAGUCUGAUGUGAAAGCCCACGGCUCAACCGUGGAGGGUCAUUGGAAACUGGGGGACUUGAGUGCAGGAGAGGAGAGCGGAAUUCCACGUGUAGCGGUGAAAUGCGUAGAGAUGUGGAGGAACACCAGUGGCGAAGGCGGCUCUCUGGCCUGCAACUGACGCUGAGGCGCGAAAGCGUGGGGAGCAAACAGGAUUAGAUACCCUGGUAGUCCACGCCGUAAACGAUGAGUGCUAAGUGUUAGAGGGGUCACACCCUUUAGUGCUGCAGCUAACGCGAUAAGCACUCCGCCUGGGGAGUACGGCCGCAAGGCUG
This 551-nucleotide ribosomal RNA is filed under the name Geobacillus sp. biofilm-F. Its description in RNAcentral is "bacterial SSU rRNA". It matches the Rfam family "Bacterial small subunit ribosomal RNA", at positions 355 to 896 of the family's 1533-position model. Lineage: Bacteria; Bacillati; Bacillota; Bacilli; Caryophanales; Anoxybacillaceae. The record is from RNAcentral.